UUUUUCCACUAGGGGUGCCUUUUAAAGGCUGAGAUUGAAGUGAGACUUUAAGACCCUUAGAACCUGAUCUGGCUUAUACCAGCGUAGGAAAGUGGAGUUCGUAGUAU
RNAcentral lists this non-coding RNA (107 nucleotides) under Haloplasma contractile. RNAcentral describes it as "TPP sequence". It matches the Rfam family "TPP riboswitch aptamer (THI element)". From Rfam's summary of the family: Vitamin B(1) in its active form thiamin pyrophosphate (TPP) is an essential coenzyme that is synthesised by coupling of pyrimidine and thiazole moieties in bacteria. The previously detected thiamin-regulatory element, thi box was extended, resulting in a new, highly conserved RNA secondary structure, the THI element, which is widely distributed in eubacteria and also occurs in some archaea. RNAcentral also lists the same sequence under 1 other name. Lineage: Bacteria; Bacillati; Mycoplasmatota; Mollicutes; Haloplasmatales; Haloplasmataceae. The record is from RNAcentral.